Molecule: ribosomal RNA, 229 nt
Filed under: uncultured bacterium
Lineage: Bacteria
Description: partial 16S ribosomal RNA
Rfam family: Bacterial small subunit ribosomal RNA
Source: RNAcentral
UACGCAGGCGGCAAAUUAAGUCAGUGGUGAAAUCCUGCAGCUUAACUGUAGAACUGUCAUUGAUACUGGUUUUCUUGAAUAUAGUUGAGGUAGGCGGAAUGUGUAAUGUAGCGGUGAAAUGCUUAGAUAUUACACAGAACACCGAUUGCGAAGGCAGCUUACUAAGCUAUGAUUGACGCUGAGGCACGAAAGCGUGGGGAGCGAACAGGAUUAGAUACCCUGGUAGUCC